AGAGUUUGCUCCUGGCUCACAACGAACGCUGGCGGUACGCUUAACACAUGCAAGUCGAACGCGAAAGCUCUUCGGAGCAAGUAGAGUGGCGAACGGGUGAGUAACACGUGGAUAACCUGCCCUUAGGUUUGGGAUAACUUUUCGAAAGAAAAGCUAAUACCGGAUAAUAAUAAAAAUAAUUUUUUUAUUUGAAAGAUGCAAUCGCCUUGGGAGGGGUCCGCGCUAUAUUAGCUAGUUGGUGGGGUAACAGCCUACCAAGGCGACGAUGUAUAGCAGGUCUGAGAGGAUGGUCUGCCACACUGGAACUGAGACACGGUCCAGACUCCUACGGGAGGCAGCAGUGGGGAAUUUUGCGCAAUGGGCGAAAGCCUGACGCAGCGAUACCGCGUGAGUGAAGAAGGCCCUUGGGUCGUAAAACUCUUUUGUAAGGGAAGAUAAUGACGGUACCUUACGAGUAAGCACCGGCUAACUCCGUGCCAGCAGCCGCGGUAAUACGGAGGGUGCGAGCGUUGUUCGGAUUUAUUGGGCGUAAAGGGUGCGUAGGCGGUUUUUUACGUAAAGGGUGAAAACCCGAAGCUCAACUUCGGGCCUGCUUUUUAAACGGAAAAACUUGAGAAAGUUAGGGGCAAGUGGAAUUCCUGGUGUAGAGGUGAAAUUCGUAGAUAUCAGGAGGAAUACCUGCGGCGAAAGCAGCUUGCUGGGACUUUUCUGACGCUGAGGCCACGAAAGCAUG
Molecule: ribosomal RNA, 733 nt
Filed under: uncultured bacterium
Lineage: Bacteria
Description: bacterial SSU rRNA
Rfam family: Bacterial small subunit ribosomal RNA
Source: RNAcentral